Molecule: long non-coding RNA, 684 nt
Organism: Oncorhynchus keta (chum salmon)
Lineage: Eukaryota; Metazoa; Chordata; Actinopteri; Salmoniformes; Salmonidae
Exons: 4
Source: RefSeq, a predicted model, not a curated record
AGGGUUAUGGGGAGAGACUGGUGGUUGAGGAGGGUUAUGGAGAGAGGGGUGGUUGAGGAGGGUUAUGGGGAGAGAGGGGUGGUUGAGGAGGGUUAUGGGGAGAGAGGGGUGGUUGAGGAAGAUAGAAGCUAUGGAGGAUGAAGUGGAGACUAUAGAGGAGAUGGAAUAGCAGACUGGUAAGUGGAGAGUAUAGAGGAGAUGGAAUAGCACACUGGUAAGUGGAGAGUAUAGAGGAGAUGGAAUAGCAGACUGGUAGGUGGAGACUAUAGAGGAGAUGGAAUAGCAGACUGGUAGGUGGAGAUGGAAUAGCAGACUGGUUAGAGGAGAUGGAAUAGCAGACUGGUUAGAGGAGAUGGAAUAGCAGACUGGUUAGAGGAGAUGGAAUAGCACACUGGUAGGUGGAGAUGGAAUAGCAGACUGGUAGGUGGAGGUGGAAUAGCAGACUGGUAGGUGGAGACUAUAGAGGAGAUGGAAUAGCAGACUGGUUAUAGGAGAUGGAGUAGCAGACUGGUAGGUGGAAUAGCAGACUGGUUAUAGGAGAUGGAAUAGCAGACUGGUAGGUGGAAUAGCAGACUGGUAGGUGGAGACUAUAGAGGAGAUGGAAUAGCAGACUGGUUAUAGGAGAUGGAGUAGCAGACUGGUUAGAGGAGAUUCAUACCUAGUCAAUAGGACAACUGAAAUGUG